AUUGAACGCUGGCGGCAGGCCUAACACAUGCAAGUCGAACGGUAACAGGAAGCAGCUUGCUGCUUCGCUGACGAGUGGCGGACGGGUGAGUAAUGUCUGGGAAGCUGCCUGAUGGAGGGGGAUAACUACUGGAAACGGUAGCUAAUACCGCAUAAUGUCGCAAGACCAAAGAGGGGGACCUUCGGGCCUCUUGCCAUCGGAUGUGCCCAGAUGGGAUUAGCUUGUUGGUGGGGUAACGGCUCACCAAGGCGACGAUCCCUAGCUGGUCUGAGAGGAUGACCAGCCACACUGGAACUGAGACACGGUCCAGACUCCUACGGGAGGCAGCAGUGGGGAAUAUUGCACAAUGGGCGCAAGCCUGAUGCAGCCAUGCCGCGUGUAUGAAGAAGGCCUUCGGGUUGUAAAGUACUUUCAGCGGGGAGGAAGGGAGUAAAGUUAAUACCUUUGCUCAUUGACGUUACCAGCAGAAGAAGCACCGGCUAACUCCGUG
This 490-nucleotide ribosomal RNA is filed under the name uncultured bacterium. RNAcentral describes it as "partial 16S ribosomal RNA". It matches the Rfam family "Bacterial small subunit ribosomal RNA", at positions 30 to 507 of the family's 1533-position model. The record is from RNAcentral.